UUUUUGCAGGACAAGGCUUUGACUAGGAUCAGGUUAUCAAGGAUGGUAAGGGAAUUAGGACAAUGCAAAUUCACAAAUAAAACUCUAUGGCACAGGCAAAUCUAGCUCCAGAAAAUAUCCAUCUACGUAACUAGUAACAGAAUCCAGAAGAGAAUAUUAUGUACUAUGAAGACAGUACAAGCAUUUUUCAUCUUCUCCCAGAGAAAGGAGAUGUAUUAAUAGGUCUUCUUUCCUGUUGAUUACCAGUUUGGCUCCAAUAGUAUCAGUGUCUGGGUUGUAUGACUGGUUUCUUAUCAUGAUUUAGUGAUUUGCUUAGCUCUUUCCUCCCUUUCUCCUGUAAUUUAACUUUUGUCUUCACUUGCAGAACAUCAAGUGCUUUCAUCUGCUCCCACUGAUAUCACUGAAUGAUAUAUUUUUGUGUUCCCAAUGCCUUUUCUGGUGCUUUUUUCAUAGAAGUUAACUGAAGAAAUGUCUCAUCUUUAAAAAAAAACAAUUCAGUGCAAGUAAAUAAAGUGAGAAAAGGAAAAAAAGUAGGGAUAAAUAAGAUGGAGCCAGGGAUAGGAC
RNAcentral lists this long non-coding RNA (564 nucleotides) under Bos taurus (domestic cattle). RNAcentral describes it as "long non-coding RNA NONBTAT015803". Lineage: Eukaryota; Metazoa; Chordata; Mammalia; Artiodactyla; Bovidae. The record is from RNAcentral.